This 492-nucleotide ribosomal RNA is filed under the name uncultured bacterium. RNAcentral's name for it is "partial 16S ribosomal RNA". It matches the Rfam family "Bacterial small subunit ribosomal RNA", at positions 29 to 507 of the family's 1533-position model. The record is from RNAcentral.
AGUGAACGCUGGCGGUAGGCCUAACACAUGCAAGUCGAGCGGCAGCACAGUAAGAGCUUGCUCUUACGGGUGGCGAGUGGCGGACGGGUGAGGAAUACAUCGGAAUCUACUUUUUCGUGGGGGAUAACGUAGGGAAACUUACGCUAAUACCGCAUACGACCUACGGGUGAAAGCAGGGGAUCUUCGGACCUUGCGCGAUUGAAUGAGCCGAUGUCGGAUUAGCUAGUUGGCGGGGUAAAGGCCCACCAAGGCGACGAUCCGUAGCUGGUCUGAGAGGAUGAUCAGCCACACUGGAACUGAGACACGGUCCAGACUCCUACGGGAGGCAGCAGUGGGGAAUAUUGGACAAUGGGAGCAAGCCUGAUCCAGCCAUACCGCGUGGGUGAAGAAGGCCUUCGGGUUGUAAAGCCCUUUUGUUGGGAAAGAAAAGCAGCAGGUUAAUACCCCGCUGUUCUGACGGUACCAAAAGAAUAAGCACCGGCUAACUUCGUG